UAAAGAUCUUACUUCUUUGUCCUCCCACAACCACUUCUGGUCCAAGUAAAGACACCAGCACUGCCAGGCUCCGGAGAGUGAUCGCCACAAUGGAAUCACUGGUAUCACGAAGGCCCAGCAGUACCUACAAGCAGAAUUGGGCGGCAGCACCUUUCUCAGUCUCUCCUCAUCCUGCUUUUAUAAGGAUUGACACACCCCCACUGCCAACUUGGUUCUGACCUGUGGCAAGAUGACUUUCUUUAGCUGUUCCUGAGUAAAGUGCUCCACAUAGGCCUCAAUGUGGGACAGUAACACCAUCCGCACAUGCUCCUCGUGGACCUCGAACAACUGGAGAAGCACAGGGAUCACUCGUGACUGGAACAGCGCUGGCGAGAGCAAGCAAGGAGUUUCUCCUGGUGCAUUCUCUACCCCAAAUCAGAGGGUACAGACAGAACAGGCGUUCAGUGAAAAGAGUAAAGAACAUAAUUCAUCAACUGAGUCCAGAACCUUAUACAUAUUUUAUGUAUCUGUAAAUUUUAAGCCCCGAUCUGAAGGUAUUUCCUUCUGCUGGUUGAAAUAACUUCCAGACUCUAUUGUCUCAAGCAUUCUCUACAUCCUGCUCCUUUCCUGCUUAGUGAGUCUGCCACAAGGCAAGUCUUUAACAAGCACUGAUGUGAUUCAUGGCUUCUCUCUCUAAAAUCCACAGUGAGGAUGGAAAGCUAUAAGGAAAAUUCAUUACUAAAAUAAAAAUGUUCAAUCCAGAGAUAAAA
Molecule: long non-coding RNA, 749 nt
Organism: Rattus norvegicus (Norway rat)
Lineage: Eukaryota; Metazoa; Chordata; Mammalia; Rodentia; Muridae
Source: RefSeq, a predicted model, not a curated record